ACGAACGCUGGCGGCGUGCUUAACACAUGCAAGUCGAACGGAAAGGCCCCUUUGGGGGUCCUCGAGUGGCGAACGGGUGAGUAACACGUGAGUAACCUGCCCUUGACUUCGGGAUAACUUCAGGAAACUGGGGCUAAUACCGGAUAGGAAUCCUUGCUGCAUGGUGGGGGUUGGAAAGCUUCGGCGGUUUUGGAUGGACUCGCGGCUUAUCAGCUUGUUGGUGGGGUAGUGGCUUACCAAGGCUUUGACGGGUAGCCGGCCUGAGAGGGCGACCGGCCACAUUGGGACUGAGAUACGGCCCAGACUCCUACGGGAGGCAGCAGGGGGGAAUAUUGCACAAUGGGCGGAAGCCUGAUGCAGCAACGCCGCGUGCGGGAUGACGGCCUUCGGGUUGUAAACCGCUUUCAGCAGGGGCGAAGCUUGUGGUGACGGUACCUGCAGAAGAAGCACCGGCUAACUACGUG
Molecule: ribosomal RNA, 464 nt
Filed under: uncultured bacterium
Lineage: Bacteria
Description: partial 16S ribosomal RNA
Rfam family: Bacterial small subunit ribosomal RNA
Source: RNAcentral